GUGAGGAAUAUUGGUCAAUGGAGGCAACUCUGAACCAGCCAUGCCGCGUGAAGGAUGAAGGUCCUCUGGAUUGUAAACUUCUUUUAUAGAAGAAGAAACCCCAGUAUUCUUACUGGGUUGACGGUACUCUAUGAAUAAGCACCGGCUAACUCCGUGCCAGCAGCCGCGGUAAUACGGAGGGUGCAAGCGUUAUCCGGAUUCACUGGGUUUAAAGGGAGCGUAGGUGGGUUGGUAAGUCAGCGGUGAAAUCCCCGAGCUUAACUCGGGAACUGCCAUUGAUACUAUCAAUCUUGAAUACUGUGGAGGUAAGCGGAAUAUAUCAUGUAGCGGUGAAAUGCUUAGAUAUGAUAUAGAACACCGAUAGCGAAGGCAGCUUACUACGCAGUGAUUGACACUGAGGCUCGAAAGCGUGGGGAUCAAACAGGAUUAGAAACCCCGGUAGUCC
This 445-nucleotide ribosomal RNA is filed under the name uncultured bacterium. RNAcentral's name for it is "bacterial SSU rRNA". It matches the Rfam family "Bacterial small subunit ribosomal RNA", at positions 354 to 796 of the family's 1533-position model. The record is from RNAcentral.